This is a long non-coding RNA of Branchiostoma floridae (Florida lancelet), 1259 nucleotides long. RefSeq lists it as uncharacterized. Lineage: Eukaryota; Metazoa; Chordata; Leptocardii; Amphioxiformes; Branchiostomatidae. The record is from RefSeq and is a predicted model, not a curated record. The transcript is spliced from 2 exons.
UGUCACGAGGUGACAUCGUGAUCACUCUGUGAUCACCCCUGGUGUGGGAAAUGUCACCCGAUAAUUGAGAGCAGAUGUACAGGGGUUUGGGAAGGGACAUGUGUGAGGGCAGGGGAUUCCAGCUAGAGACACCGACAGGGUAGGACGUGCCCAGAUUGUCCUGAAUAAAGGUUAUCAUAUCCGCAACAUCAUGCCUCUGUCCUGAUCCUUGACUUGACUCACUACCAUGCCACCGUGACAUCUGGUAGUACGGCUGGGGUGAGUCAGGUUCAACGGACGGGACAGAGGCAAACGGGAGGCGUUCAGAGACGCAGGAGAGAGUGCCGACCCGGAGUACCGAGCCCGCGGGGUUGACCAGCAAGGGGCAAGGCGGCGAGGGAGUGUCGGUGGCCGAGGCGAGCGAGAGGAAGCAGGAGGGGAGGCGUGCGAGAGAUGCAGACUGACUCGGAGUGAUCUGUGAUCAUGAUAACCGCGACAGUAAUGGCCUAUAGCUGCGGCGAGGGGAGCGGAGUACGGCCACACGGCGGGCGCGGCAGCAGGGCAAGGGCAGGACGGCCACGCGGCGGUGACCGGAGGAAGAGCGGGUCCGGGCAGAGAGAGACACAGGAGGAAGGUGAGAUUCUACAGUCAACUCGGCGGACAACGAUGUCCCGAGGGCCCGACGUCGUAUAGGAGUCGUCGUCGUGGGAGCAUCUAGCCGGGAGGCCUCUGUGGACAAGACAAGCCUCUUCCCGACGGGCAGAGGAGUUCCUGCCGUUUCCCUGUGGUUCCGGGACACACCCGGAAGUGCGCAAGCCGGCCGCCGAGGAGGAAGUUGGAGCAAAACACCUUGCAACCAUUGAUGAACUUCUGUUGUAAAUUGUUGUGUUUUUGUUGCUGUUUUUGUGUAUGUCGGACUAUCGUCGACCUGUUUUUGAUUAUGUACGAGUAUGUUGUUGUUCCCUUACCUUUUUAUUAUGAAUUGAUCGUUGUAUUGUAGAAGAAUUAGUAUAAAAAAAAGCGGUGAUUCUUGUAAUUAACACUGAUGCCUGCUGUCAACAAUGUGGAAAUUGUUAAAAAAAUGAGGGGUGAGGUGUCACGAGGUGACAUCGUGAUCACUCUGUGAUCACCCCUGGUGUGGGAAAUGUCACCCGAUAAUUGAGAGCAGAUGUACAGGGGUUUGGGAAGGGACAUGUGUGAGGGCAGGGGAUUCCAGCUAGAGACACCGACAGGGUAGGACGUGCCCAGAUUGUCCUGAAUAAAGGUUAUCAUAUCCGCAA